AGAUACUUAGAAAUCAUCUGGUCCAAGCCCCCGGCUCAGAGAUGAGGACAGGGAGCCCCAGAGACCACUCGACUUGACCAAGGACACAGGAGGCUCAGGGCAGACCUGGGAGUCUCUGGGACGUGCUUGGACCUGGGCCUGUGGGACAAGGAUGAAAUCAUCAACACUGGACCCACCCUAACUCUGGUGAAAUAGGACAAGUUCUGGUCAAGAGUGGGCACUUGGACAUUGUGCCAGAGUGACAGAUCACUUGAGUUCAGAAGCAGGAAGUUUGCAAAUUCUGUUGUGGACACCAGUGCAUGUAGGUCCCUGGAAGGCACACGCUCUCUGACAUUUCCUAGAGACUGCAAUGCUUUAACUCAAGAAAGAAAUUCCUCCUAGCAAAAUCACCCUUGGGAGAGAAUGUUGGUGAGGGACCCUUGAGCAGACAAGCCAGGUACCCCCAGGCUACCUCCACAUGCACCUGGCCCUGCAGUUGAUUUGGUCUUC
RNAcentral lists this long non-coding RNA (489 nucleotides) under Canis lupus familiaris (dog). RNAcentral describes it as "lncRNA (ENSCAFG00000056493.1)". Lineage: Eukaryota; Metazoa; Chordata; Mammalia; Carnivora; Canidae. The record is from RNAcentral.